GACGAACGCUGGCGGCGUGCCUAAUACAUGCAAGUCGAACGCAUUUUCUUUCACCGUAGCUUGCUACACCGAAAGAAAAUGAGUGGCGAACGGGCGAGUAACACGUGGGUAACCUGCCCAUCAGCGGGGGAUAACACUUGGAAACAGGUGCUAAUACCGCAUAAUUCCAUUUACUGCAUGGUAGAUGGAUGAAAGGCGCUUUUGCGUCACUGAUGGAUGGACCCGCGGUGCAUUAGCUAGUUGGUGGGGUAACGGCCUACCAAGGCUGCGAUGCAUAGCCGACCUGAGAGGGUGAUCGGCCACGCUGGGACUGAGACACGGCCCAGACUCCUACGGGAGGCAGCAGUAGGGAAUCUUCGGCAAUGGACGCAAGUCUGACCGAGCAACGCCGCGUGAGUGAAGAAGGUUUUCGGAUCGUAAAACUCUGUUGUUAGAAAAGAACAAGGAUGAGAGUGGAAAGUUCAUCCCUUGACGGUAUCUAACCAGAAAGCCACGGCUAGCUACGUG
Molecule: ribosomal RNA, 507 nt
Filed under: uncultured bacterium
Lineage: Bacteria
Description: partial 16S ribosomal RNA
Rfam family: Bacterial small subunit ribosomal RNA
Source: RNAcentral